CCCCACUGCUAUCGGGGUGGGACUAAAACAUGCAAGUCGAGCGCCUCCAAGCUAUGGUGAAGGCGCGGCAAACGGCUCAGUAACACGUGGCCAACCUACCCUUGGGACGGAGACAACCCCGGGAAACUGGGGCUAAUCCCCGAUAGGUAAGGAAUCCUGGAAUGGAUCUUUGCUGAAAGGGCGUCUAGACCAUGCUUCUUGACGUCGCCCAAGGAUGGAGCCGCGGCCGAUCAGGUAGUUGGCGAGGCAACGGCUCACCAAGCCUAUAACCGGUACGGGCCGUGAGAGCGGUAGCCCGGAGAUGGGCACUGAGACAAGGGCCCAGGCCCUACGGGGCGCAGCAGUUGCGAAAACUCCGCAAUGCGCGAAAGCGUGACGGGGCUACCCCGAGUGCCGCCCGUUGAGGGCGGCUUUUCCACGGUGUAAGGAGCCGUGGGAAUAAGGAGAGGGCAAGACUGGUGUCAGCCGCCGCGGUAAUACCAGCUCUCCGAGUGGUGGGGACGAUUAUUGGGCUUAAAGCGUUCGUAGCCGGCUUAACAAGUCUUCCGUUAAAUCCAACGAUCUAAUCGUUGGGCUGCGGGAGAUACUGUUGGGCUAGGAGGCGGGAGAAGCCGACGGUAUUCUCGGGGUAGGGGUGAAAUCCUGUAAUCCCGGGAGGACCACCAGUGGCGAAGGCGGUCGGCUAGAACGCGCUCGACGGUGAGGGACGAAAGCUGGGGGAGCGAACCGGAUUAGAAACCCGGGUAGUCCCAGCUGUAAACGAUGCGGGCUAGGUGUUGGGGUGGCCACGAGCCACUUCAGUGCCGCAUGGAAGCAAUUAAGCCCGCCGCCUGGGGAGUACGGCCGCAAGGCUGAAACUUAAAGGAAUUGGCGGGGGAGCACCACAAGGCGUGAAGCUUGCGGUUU
This 906-nucleotide ribosomal RNA is filed under the name uncultured archaeon. RNAcentral's name for it is "bacterial SSU rRNA". It matches the Rfam family "Archaeal small subunit ribosomal RNA", at positions 21 to 903 of the family's 1478-position model. The record is from RNAcentral.